GGGCGGUUAGCUCAGGGGUAGAGCAUCGCACUCACACUGCGAGGGUCGGAGGUUCGAAGCCUCCACCGCCCACCA
RNAcentral lists this transfer RNA (75 nucleotides) under Rhodoferax sp. RNAcentral's name for it is "tRNA-Val". It matches the Rfam family "tRNA". From Rfam's summary of the family: Transfer RNA (tRNA) molecules are approximately 80 nucleotides in length. Their secondary structure includes four short double-helical elements and three loops (D, anti-codon, and T loops). Further hydrogen bonds mediate the characteristic L-shaped molecular structure. tRNAs have two regions of fundamental functional importance: the anti-codon, which is responsible for specific mRNA codon recognition, and the 3' end, to which the tRNAs corresponding amino acid is attached (by aminoacyl-tRNA synthetases). tRNAs cope with the degeneracy of the genetic code in two manners: having more than one tRNA (with a specific anti-codon) for a particular amino acid; and 'wobble' base-pairing, i.e. permitting non-standard base-pairing at the 3rd anti-codon position. The record is from RNAcentral. Lineage: Bacteria; Pseudomonadati; Pseudomonadota; Betaproteobacteria; Burkholderiales; Comamonadaceae. RNAcentral also lists the same sequence under 2 other names.